GAUGAACGCUGGCGGCGUGCCUAACACAUGCAAGUCGAACGAACGGACGAUAAGCUUGUUUCUCUGACGUUAGCGGCGGACGGGUGAGUAACACGUGUAUCACCUACCUAUAUUACUGGGAUAACUUCGGGAAACCGUAUCUAAUACCGUAUAAUAUUUUGAACCGCAUGGUUCAAAGGUGAAUUUCGGUCUUGCUGUCUCGUAUAGCUGGAUCCGCGCUGCAUUAGCUAGUUGGUAAGUUAACGGCUUACCAAGGCAACGAUGCAUAGCCGAACUGAUAGACUGAUAGCCCACAUGGGAACGGAGACACGCCCCAUACGCCUAAGGUAGGCAGCAGUCGCGAACGGGAGGCAGUAGGCGGAAGUAUUACGGAGCAGCGCGGCGUGAGAGAUGACGAUCUUGGGAUCGGGAAAACCUGUUAUGAGUGAAGAACAUCUGUGUAAGUAACUGAGCAGAGAGUGACGGUAACGAAUAAGAAAGCACCGGCUAACUACGUG
Molecule: ribosomal RNA, 497 nt
Filed under: uncultured bacterium
Lineage: Bacteria
Description: partial 16S ribosomal RNA
Rfam family: Bacterial small subunit ribosomal RNA
Source: RNAcentral